AUGACCACUGAUCNCAUGGUUAGUGGYGGAAAGAUUUAUCGRUGCGAGAUGGGCCCGCGGCCUAUCAGCUUGUUGGUGAGGUAACGGCUCACCAAGGCGACGACGGGUAGCCGACCUGAGAGGGUGACCGGCCACACUGGGACUGAGACACGGCCCAGACUCCUACGGGAGGCAGCAGUGGGGAAUAUUGCACAAUGGGCGAAAGCCUGAUGCAGCGACGCCGCGUGCGGGAUGACGGCCUUCGGGUUGUAAACCGCUUUUGACAGGGACGAAGCGCAAGUGACUGUACCUGUAGAAUAAGGACCGGCCAACUACGUGCCAGCAGCCGCGGUAAUACGUAGGGUCCGAGCGUUGUCCGGAAUUACUGGGCGUAAAGAGCUUGUAGGCGGUUCGUCGCGUCGUUUGUGAAAACUUGGGGCUCAACCUUAAGCUUGCAGGCGAUACGGGCGGACUAGAGUACUUCAGGGGAGACUGGAAUUCCUGGUGUAGCGGUGAAAUGCGCAGAUAUCAGGAGGAACACCGGUGGCGAAGGCGGGUCUCUGGGAAGUAACUGACGCUGAGAAGCGAAAGCAUGGGUAGCAAACAGGAUUAGAUACCCUGGUAGUCCAUGCCGUAAACGGUGGGUACUAGGUGUGGGGCUCCUUCCACGGACUCCGUGCCGUAGCUAACGCAUUAAGUACCCCGCCUGGGGAGUACGGCCGCAAGGCUAAAACUCAAAGAAAUUGACGGGGGCCCGCACAAGCGGCGGAGCAUGUGGAUUAAUUCGAUGCAACGCGAAGAACCUUACCUGGGUUUGACAUACACCGGAAACCUGCAGAGAUGUAGGCCCCCUUGUGGUCGGUGUACAGGUGGUGCAUGGCUGUCGUCAGCUCGUGUCGUGAGAUGUUGGGUUAAGUCCCGCAACGAGCGCAACCCUUAUCUUAUGUUGCCAGCGCGUAAUGGCGGGGACUCGUGAGAGACUGCCGGGGUCAACUCGGAGGAAGGUGGGGACGACGUCAAGUCAUCAUGCCCCUUAUGUCCAGGGCUUCAA
RNAcentral lists this ribosomal RNA (1030 nucleotides) under Nocardia sp. Its description in RNAcentral is "bacterial SSU rRNA". The record is from RNAcentral. Lineage: Bacteria; Bacillati; Actinomycetota; Actinomycetes; Mycobacteriales; Nocardiaceae.